This 493-nucleotide ribosomal RNA is filed under the name uncultured bacterium. RNAcentral's name for it is "partial 16S ribosomal RNA". It matches the Rfam family "Bacterial small subunit ribosomal RNA", at positions 29 to 507 of the family's 1533-position model. The record is from RNAcentral.
ACGAACGCUGGCGGCGUGCUUAACCCCUGCAAGUCGAACGGUGAAGCGCCUUCCUUUUUGGUGGGUGUGGAUGAGUGGCGAACGGGUGAGUAACACGUGAGUAACCUGCCCCCUUCUUCUGGAUAACCGCAUGAAAGUGUGGCUAAUACGGGAUAUUCUGGGUCUGUCGCAUGAUGGGUCUGGGAAAGAUAUUGUUUCGGUGGGGGAUGGGCUCGCGGCCUAUCAGCUUGUUGGUGGGGUGAUGGCCUACCAAGGCGGUGACGGGUAGCCGGCCUGAGAGGGUGGACGGUCACACUGGGACUGAGACACGGCCCAGACUCCUACGGGAGGCAGCAGGGGGGAAUAUUGCACAAUGGGCGCAAGCCUGAUGCAGCGACGCCGCGUGAGGGAUGGAGGCCUUCGGGUUGUGAACCUCUUUCGCCAGUGAAGCAGGCCUGCCUCGUUUGUGGGUGGGUUGACGGUAGCUGGAGAAGAAGCGCCGGCUAACUACGUG